Molecule: ribosomal RNA, 445 nt
Filed under: uncultured bacterium
Lineage: Bacteria
Description: SSU rRNA
Rfam family: Bacterial small subunit ribosomal RNA
Source: RNAcentral
AGAGCGAACGCUGGCGGCAGGCCUAACACAUGCAAGUCGAGCGCCCGUAGCAAUACGGGAGCGGCAGACGGGAUAGUAACACGUGGGAACGCGCCCUUCGGUUCGGAAUAACUCAGGGAAACUUGAGCUAAUACCGGAUACGCCCUUACGGGGAAAGAUUUAUUGCCGAAGGAACGGCCCGCGUCCGAUUAGCUAGUUGGUGAGGUAAUGGCUCACCAAGGCGACGAUCGGUAGCUGGUCUGAGAGGAUGACCAGCAUCACUGGGACUGAGACACGGCCCAGACUCCUACGGGAGGCAGCAGUGGGGAAUAUGGACAAUGGGCGCAAGCCUGAUCCAGCCAUGCCGCGUGGAUGAUGAAGGCCUUAGGGUUGUAAAGUCCGUUUAACGGGGAAGAUAAUGACGGUACCGUAGAAUAAGCCCGGCUAACUUCGCGCCAGCAGCCGC